UCACUACACUGAACGAGAACUACAACCAG
Molecule: non-coding RNA, 29 nt
Filed under: Mus musculus (house mouse)
Lineage: Eukaryota; Metazoa; Chordata; Mammalia; Rodentia; Muridae
Source: RNAcentral